This 440-nucleotide ribosomal RNA is filed under the name uncultured bacterium. Its description in RNAcentral is "partial 16S ribosomal RNA". It matches the Rfam family "Bacterial small subunit ribosomal RNA", at positions 338 to 795 of the family's 1533-position model. The record is from RNAcentral.
CCUACGGGAGGCAGCAGUGGGGAAUAUUGCACAAUGGGGGAAACCCUGAUGCAGCGACGCCGCGUGAGUGAAGAAGUAUUUCGGUAUGUAAAGCUCUAUCAGCAGGGAAGCAAAUGACGGUACUUGAUUAAGAAGCCCCGGCUAACUACGUGCCAGCAGCCGCGGUAAUACGUAGGGGGCAAGCGUUAUCCGGAUUUACUGGGUGUAAAGGGGGCGUAGGCGGCAGCACAGGUCUGGAGUGAAUUGCCGGGGCUUAACCCCGGAACUGCUUUUGAAACUGUGCAGCUAGAGUGCAGGAGAGGUAAGUGGAAUUCCUAGUGUAGCGGUGAAAUGCGUAGAUAUUAGGAGGAACACCAGUGGCGAAGGCAGCUUACUGGACUGUAACUGACGUUGAGGCUCGAAAGCGUGGGGAGCAAACAGGAUUAGAUACCCGAGUAGUC